RNAcentral lists this ribosomal RNA (444 nucleotides) under uncultured bacterium. RNAcentral's name for it is "bacterial SSU rRNA". It matches the Rfam family "Bacterial small subunit ribosomal RNA", at positions 355 to 796 of the family's 1533-position model. The record is from RNAcentral.
UGGGGAAUUUUGGACAAUGGGGGCAACCCUGAUCCAGCGACGCCGCGUGAAGGAUGAAGGUCUUCGGAUUGUAAACUUCUUUUGAAGGGGAUGAAUGACUGGGUGAAGAGCCCAGAGUGACAGUACCCUUUGAAUAAGCCACGGCUAACUACGUGCCAGCAGCCGCGGUAAUACGUAGGUGGCAAGCGAUACUCGGAAUCACUAGGCGUAAAGCGCAGGUAGGCGGUUCGAUAAGUCUGUUGUGAAAGCUCCCGGCUUAACUGGGAGAGGUCAACGGAAACUGUCGGGCUAGAGUGUGGUAGAGGUAGCUGGAAUUCCCGGUGUAGCGGUGAAAUGCGUAGAUAUCGGGAGGAAUACCUAUGGCGAAAGCAGGCUACUGGACCAUCACUGACGCUGAUCUGCGAAAGCUAGGGGAGCAAACAGGAUUAGAUACCCCCGUAGUCC